RNAcentral lists this ribosomal RNA (253 nucleotides) under uncultured bacterium. RNAcentral describes it as "partial 16S ribosomal RNA". It matches the Rfam family "Bacterial small subunit ribosomal RNA", at positions 524 to 776 of the family's 1533-position model. The record is from RNAcentral.
UACGGAGGGGGCUAGCGUUGUUCGGAAUUACUGGGCGUAAAGCGCACGUAGGCGGCUUUGUAAGUUAGAGGUGAAAGCCUGGGGCUCAACUCCAGAACUGCCUUUAAGACUGCAUCGCUUGAAUCAUGGAGAGGCGGGUGGAAUUCCGAGUGUAGAGGUGAAAUGCGUAGAUAUUCGGAAGAACACCAGCGGCGAAGGCGGCCCGCUGGACAUGUAUUGACGCUGAGGUGCGAAAGCGUGGGGAGCAAACAGG